AUUACAGCGAAGCGGCGCGAGCCGCCUUUCGAACCACCGCGUACCGAACCCCCCACGUUGCCUCGGCGGGCGCCGGGCGCCCCGCGCCCGCCCCGCCGAACGGCCCCCCAGCAAGACCCCUUCCGUCGAGAUGGCGUCGUCUGAACCCUCCGGGGAAAACGUUUGAAACGAAAAACACAACUUUCAACAAUGGAUCUCUUGGCUCCGGCAUCGAUGAAGAACGCAGCGAAACGCGAUAGCUAGUGUGAAUUGCAGAUUUCAGUGAAUCAUCGAGUCUUUGAACGCACAUUGCGCCUCUUGGUAUUCCUCGAGGCAUGCCUGUUCGAGCGUCGUUACGCCCCUCAAGCGCGAGCUUGGUGUUGGGGACCGCCCCUGAGACACGGCGGCGGCCCCGGAAUGCAUCGGCGGUGCUGGUCCCAGCCCGGAGCGCAGCAGACAUGCGGCUCCGCGGGCGGGGCCGGCGCCCGCCGGACAAACGACGAGACCCCUCCACAAGUCGACCUCGA
RNAcentral lists this unclassified non-coding RNA (506 nucleotides) under leaf metagenome. RNAcentral describes it as "partial contains internal transcribed spacer 1, 5.8S ribosomal RNA, and internal transcribed spacer 2". The stretch from base 179 to 332 matches the Rfam family "5.8S ribosomal RNA". The record is from RNAcentral.